CCCUUAGAUGUUCUGGGCCGCACGCGCGCUACACUGUUCGACGCAGCGAGUCUUAACCUUGACCGAAAGGUUUGGGUAAUCUUCAGCAAAGUCGAACGUGAUGGGGAUCGAUCAUUGCAAUUAUUGAUCGUGAACGAGGAAUUCCUAGUAAGUGCAAGUCAUCAGCUUGCGCUGAUUACGUCCCUGCCCUUUUUACACACCGCCCGUCGCUACUACCGAUUGAAUGGUUUAGUGAGAUCUCUGGAUUGACGCUGGCUAGGGGGCGACCCUUGGCCAGACUGUUGAGAAACUGCUCAAACUUGAUCAUUUAGAGGAAGUAAAAGUCGUAACA
RNAcentral lists this ribosomal RNA (331 nucleotides) under uncultured eukaryote. Its description in RNAcentral is "partial 18S ribosomal RNA". It matches the Rfam family "Eukaryotic small subunit ribosomal RNA", at positions 1470 to 1796 of the family's 1831-position model. The record is from RNAcentral.